This 454-nucleotide ribosomal RNA is filed under the name Teletusa limpida. RNAcentral's name for it is "partial large subunit ribosomal RNA". The record is from RNAcentral. Lineage: Eukaryota; Metazoa; Arthropoda; Insecta; Hemiptera; Cicadellidae.
UAGUUAAAAUUUAAAGGUAAAUUCUGCCCUAUGAUUAAUUUUAAAUGGCUGCAGUAUAUUGACUGUGCAAAGGUAGCAUAAUAAUUAGUCUUUUAAUUGGAGGCUUGUAUGAAUGAGUAAAUGAGAAAUUUAUUUUAUUAUUAGUAUUUUUAUAAUUUAAUUUUUAAGUAAAAAAGCUUAAUUUAUUUUUUGGGACGAAAAGACCCUAUAGAAUUUAAAUUUUUAGAUUUAUAUAAUUUUUUAGUUAUAUUAUUAUAAUUUAAUAAAUUUUUAUUGGGGUGAUAAAUAAAUUUGACUUUAUUUUUUUUUCUCAUUUAAUAAGUGUUUUUUUGAUCCAAGGUUUGAUUUUAAGAUUAAAUUACCUUAGGGAUAACAGCGUAAUUUUUAUGGGAAGUUCAUAUUUAUAUAAAAGUUUGCGACCUCGAUGUUGAAUUAAGAUAAGUUUGUGGGGCAG